CACUUCUCUAUGUGGCAAUCGAACGAAAAACCAACAAUGUUUUGUUUGGUUUUGAACCCGGGUCUUAGGAUUACCAGACCAGCGCACAAUCCUCUGCGCCACGAUCGCCACUCUAUACAUGGCAAGAAAGCAAAGGACACAAAAUUGAUUCUGUGUGGGGUGGUGUAGAAAAAAUAAUUUAUAAAAAAGAUACGGAAAUAUCAACAGAGCAUUGUAUCGCUGUUAUAAUUAUUGGUUUUAUACAGACGUGGUCUGUGAUUUUCAACUCCAAAUACGACAAGGAAGAGCAGGUGCUUGCGAGAGCAAAAUUAUUUAUAGACAAGGUGAAGUUAAAAAAACAUUCUAUAGGAAUUAUAUUUACUACUACAAGAACACCGCACCACAUUUUUACAAACAUACUAGUAAUGAUCAGUCAAUUCUUCCCCCAUGUAUCGUUUAUGCAAUUCUGAGGUAUUAACGAGUUUGGAAAAAAUACUAGUGACGAUGUAAAUGAAGAAAAAAACGACAAAGAGGAACCUAAAUGUUGGAAAAAGGAAAUUAAAUCUUGGUAUAAUGAAUACUCCACUGUGAUUUUGAUACUUACAUAUGACUGAUAUUUUGAGAAAAAAAUAUGCAUGACUGCUGUGUGACACGAACAUAUUUUAUCACUCGUGCACUGCUAGUUUUAGAUCUUGUGUUCACCGAUCUUACUCUUCACUAACGAAACAUGAGAGCAAUUAUGUCCCGAUGUUUACAGAAUAAUGAUCAUCGUAGAAAUAAAAGUACAGAAUUGGCCCUUAUAUUUACUGCUAGAUGUAAUCUGUGAACGCGUGUUUUAUACGAGUCCUAAAAUGAUGUUAACGAAAAAUAAAUGAUAACUAAUUACAAUGUACUAGAUUUGUACUGCAUAUACGUUUUCCAUUUACUCUCUUGUAUCCAUUACUUUUCUGAAGCGCUUGUUUUAACGUAUCGAGCGAGCGAUCAUUCAGUGUGAUCCGCAUUGGUAAAUACACGUGUAUUAAAAUGUAAUGCAAGUAAUGCAGAUACUAACCAUAAGUUGCGUUAUGUCUUUUGUAAUAUUAUCGGCCAAUCGAUUUUGUCAGAAAGUUUAACAGUUUAUAUUGACCGCAUCUAGCAAAAGAAAUCAGCUGUUGA
Molecule: long non-coding RNA, 1134 nt
Organism: Vollenhovia emeryi
Lineage: Eukaryota; Metazoa; Arthropoda; Insecta; Hymenoptera; Formicidae
Exons: 3
Source: RefSeq, a predicted model, not a curated record